UUUCAACUGUCAAUUGUUUUCAAUAAUUUUGUAAAAAAAUGAAAUUUGUCUGUUAGUUUAUGUUUUGAUUGUUUCCAUUUCAAAAUUAUUCAGUGUUGUCCACGUACUAGUUGUUAUAUAAAAAUUGUUGUCCUCCUUACGGUGUCUAGUAGCGACAUUUUAUCCUCCAAACAUUAUACAUAUUUAACUUACAAUUUUUUUUUUAGAUGGCAGUACAGCAGAUCAUUCAAUACAUGCUGAGACAUGAAUUCACAUUUCUACCACUAUGCUAAAUAUCAACAUCCUACGUUGAAAAUGUACUAGACGAUACUGCUAAUAAUAAUGGUUUUGUGCAACGUGCGUGUAAUGGAUGGCAGUACAGCAGAUCACUCGAGGCAUGCUGAGACCAUGAAUUCACAUUUCUAUCACUUGGGAAAGUUACAACAUCUUCCGUUGUAAAUGGAAUAGAAGAUGGCAGUAUAUCAGAUCAAUCAAGGCACGCUGAGACACGAAUUCACAUUUCUACCACCAAGGAAAGUAUCAACAUCCUAUGUUGAAAAUGGACUAGAAGAUACUGAUAAUAAUAUUGGAUUUAUGCAAUGUGCGUGCAAUGGUUAUUGAAUAUAAUUGAUACUAAAUUAAUACCUGUGAAACAAUUGAGAUUUGUUAAAUAUCUGAAUAAAAUAAUA
Long non-coding RNA from Rhopalosiphum padi (bird cherry-oat aphid), 668 nucleotides. RefSeq lists it as uncharacterized. NCBI's taxonomy places the organism in Eukaryota, Metazoa, Arthropoda, Insecta, Hemiptera, Aphididae. The record is from RefSeq and is a predicted model, not a curated record. The transcript is spliced from 3 exons.